Molecule: ribosomal RNA, 129 nt
Filed under: Salmonella enterica subsp. enterica serovar Muenchen
Lineage: Bacteria; Pseudomonadati; Pseudomonadota; Gammaproteobacteria; Enterobacterales; Enterobacteriaceae
Also listed under: 2 other names
Description: partial 16S ribosomal RNA
Rfam family: Bacterial small subunit ribosomal RNA
Source: RNAcentral
ACUUAAAUUGAAGAGUUUGAUCAUGGCUCAGAUUGAACGCUGGCGGCAGGCCUAACACAUGCAAGUCGAACGGUAACAGGAAGCAGCUUGCUGCUUCGCUGACGAGUGGCGGACGGGUGAGUAAUGUCU